RNAcentral lists this ribosomal RNA (149 nucleotides) under Lobaria retigera. RNAcentral describes it as "5.8S ribosomal RNA". It matches the Rfam family "5.8S ribosomal RNA". Rfam says of the family: 5.8S ribosomal RNA (5.8S rRNA) is a component of the large subunit of the eukaryotic ribosome. The record is from RNAcentral. Lineage: Eukaryota; Fungi; Ascomycota; Lecanoromycetes; Peltigerales; Lobariaceae.
CAACAACGGAUCUCUUGGUUCUGGCAUCGAUGAAGAACGCAGCGAAAUGCGAUAAGUAAUGUGAAUUGCAGAAUUCAGUGAAUCAUCGAAUCUUUGAACGCACAUUGCGCCCCUUGGUAUUCCGAGGGGCAUACCUGUUCGAGCGUCAU